This is a long non-coding RNA of Zophobas morio, 557 nucleotides long. RefSeq lists it as uncharacterized. The transcript is spliced from 3 exons. Lineage: Eukaryota; Metazoa; Arthropoda; Insecta; Coleoptera; Tenebrionidae. The record is from RefSeq and is a predicted model, not a curated record.
UAUGGUCAAAAGGUUUUACAACUCGCAGGAGUGUAUGUUCUACCAUACCAAGUUAUCGGUACUACUGUAACCGCCAGUUUCGUCGUGUUUUGUUUCGCGGUACUAAUUACACAAAGGUUAAAAUAUCUAAUAUAAAAAUACUAGUUUGAAGGUUCUUUGGCAGAUCAAUAUUUUCGGAUUGCAGCUCUCAGCGUUCUAGUAUCUGCAAUACUGGUUGGCUUUGUGGUUAGUGGACAAAGAAUCGAAGAUAUGUGGCAGGACAUGUUUGAUGCUUUACGUGAAGUCAGUUGGUACCACUGGAAGCACACCGACAAAAAAAUGUACCUGAUGUUCCUAACAAACUCGUCCAAAGUGCAUAAAUUAAAGUACACCGAAAACAUUUCACUAAACCAUAUGUUGGGAAUACAGGUUAUUAAAGCCGUAUUUUCUGCCAUAUCCAUCACAUAUAAUUUACAACAUUAGGACCCAAUUUACAGAAAGCGAAGUUAAAGUUAAUUCGCGAUUAAUUCGCUGUUCUAUAAACCGGCCCUAGGUGUACUUGCAUUAAAAAAAAAUGG